Molecule: long non-coding RNA, 199 nt
Filed under: Elaeis guineensis (African oil palm)
Lineage: Eukaryota; Viridiplantae; Streptophyta; Magnoliopsida; Arecales; Arecaceae
Description: long non-coding RNA (EGUI_LNC013086)
Source: RNAcentral
UUAUCAAAAAAUAAUUUAAUAAAAAUAUUAUAUAAUAUUCUUUCUUUUAUUCUUCCUAUACGAUUAACAAAUUGAAGAGAGAUUUAUUUUCACUCAUUUUCUCUCUCAUCUAUUUUUCUUCGGAUUCAUUCUUCGUAUCAAAUAGAGGAUAAAAAAUUUUAUAAUUGUAAAUAGCACAAAUAUGUAGUGUAUCCCGGCC